This is a long non-coding RNA of Spinacia oleracea (spinach), 942 nucleotides long. RefSeq lists it as uncharacterized. The record is from RefSeq and is a predicted model, not a curated record. The transcript has 2 exons. NCBI's taxonomy places the organism in Eukaryota, Viridiplantae, Streptophyta, Magnoliopsida, Caryophyllales, Amaranthaceae.
AGGUCCUAUUUUUAUACACUAUUUUAAUUCAAGGUACUAUUUGACAAAAUAAGAAAGUUAAGGUACUAUUUUCCAAAUUGAGACAAAAACAAGGUACUGUUUGACAAUUUUGCCUUUUUUUUUAAUAACAUUAUGACAUCAUUUUCCGGUGAUUUUUGCCGAAAAAUGAUUUCGGGUUGUAAUUUAAAAUCAGAAACUUUCUUGUCAGGCCGCCUGACGCUCACGCGCACGUCAGACCACCUCUUAUCCCACGCGCGCGUGAGAUCACGCGCACUAUAAAAGCGAUGUUUUCUCUCUCUUCUCAUUUCAUCUGUUCUUCUGAAUUAUUCGUUUCUCUCUCCUCUCCCCUCUCCCUUCUCCUGGUUCAACACUCCUCAAAACCUCCGCCUCUUUUCCCCAAAUCUCCUCCACCAAGAAGCUCCAAUCGCCAAACCACCACCACCUACACCAUGGUCGUCGCCUGGCAGCCGAAACGCCCAUCGAUAUCUCUCCUCUCCUCUCAGCGUGCAAAGCUUCCUUCCUCGUCGGAGAGGACAACCAUCACCACCAUCAUAUUCGUCGCCGCCGCCGACCUUACUCCCUCUUCGAACAGUCGAACUCACCGGUUUUAGGCGGUGAUGACGGUGGUGGAGGUGCGGCUGGUGCUGCUAGAAAGGCGGUGGGUUUCGGUGAAAUGAUGUAAGGUGGAGCUAUAUCGCAGCCACGUGAGAGGCUGUCGAUUCCCAAGCCGGCUCCGAGAGCUCGCCGUGCUUCGGUUGUGGAGAUUGGGGUGGAGCAGCGGAUGUUUGAUCGAGGAUGGUUUCAAGGGAAAUAUGCUAGCUUUGUAUUUCAGUAGAUUGCAAGGGAAAUACCGAAAUAUGCUAGCUUUUGUAUAAAUUUGGUUUUAGUUACAAUUUUUUUAUAUUUAGUUAUGAAAUAAAGGAUUUUAGUUACUCUGUACAA